GACGAACGCUGGCGGCGUGCUUAACACAUGCAAGUCGAACGGAUCCUUUGGGGUUAGUGGCGAACGGGUGAGUAACACGUGGGUGAUCUGCCCUGCACUUUGGGAUAAGCCUGGGAAACUGGGUCUAAUACCGGAUAGGACUACGCACUGCAUGGUGUGUGGUGGAAAGCUUUUGCGGUGUGGGAUGGGCCCGCGGCCUAUCAGCUUGUUGGUGGGGUGAUGGCCUACCAAGGCGACGACGGGUAGCCGGCCUGAGAGGGUGACCGGCCACACUGGGACUGAGAUACGGCCCAGACUCCUACGGGAGGCAGCAGUGGGGAAUAUUGCACAAUGGGCGCAAGCCUGAUGCAGCGACGCCGCGUGAGGGAUGACGGCCUUCGGGUUGUAAACCUCUUUCGCCAGGGACGAAGCGCAAGUGACGGUACCUGGAGAAGAAGGACCGGCCAACUACGUGCCAGCAGCCGCGGUAAUACGUAGGGUCCGAGCGUUGUCCGGAAUUACUGGGCGUAAAGAGCUCGUAGGUGGUUUGUCGCGUUGUUCGUGAAAACUCACAGCUUAACUGUGGGCGUGCGGGCGAUACGGGCAGACUGGAGUACUGCAGGGGAGACUGGAAUUCCUGGUGUAGCGGUGGAAUGCGCAGAUAUCAGGAGGAACACCGGUGGCGAAGGCGGGUCUCUGGGCAGUAACUGACGCUGAGGAGCGAAAGCGUGGGGAGCGAACAGGAUUAGGUACCCUGGUAGUCCACGCCGUAAACGGUGGGUACUAGGUGUGGGUUUCCUUCCUUGGGAUCCGUGCCGUAGCUAACGCAUUAAGUACCCCGCCUGGGGAGUACGGCCGCAAGGCUAAAACUCAAAGGAAUUGACGGGGGCCCGCACAAGCGGCGGAGCAUGUGGAUUAAUUCGAUGCAACGCGAAGAACCUUACCUGGGUUUGACAUGCACAGGACGCCGGCAGAGAUGUCGGUUCCCUUGUGGCCUGUGUGCAGGUGGUGCAUGGCUGUCGUCAGCUCGUGUCGUGAGAUGUUGGGUUAAGUCCCGCAACGAGCGCAACCCUUGUCUCAUGUUGCCAGCACGUUAUGGUGGGGACUCGUGAGAGACUGCCGGGGUCAACUCGGAGGAAGGUGGGGAUGACGUCAAGUCAUCAUGCCCCUUAUGUCCAGGGCUUCACACAUGCUACAAUGGCCGGUACAAAGGGCUGCGAUGCCGUGAGGUGGAGCGAAUCCUUUCAAAGCCGGUCUCAGUUCGGAUCGGGGUCUGCAACUCGACCCCGUGAAGUCGGAGUCGCUAGUAAUCGCAGAUCAGCAACGCUGCGGUGAAUACGUUCCCGGGCCU
This 1330-nucleotide ribosomal RNA is filed under the name uncultured bacterium. RNAcentral's name for it is "bacterial SSU rRNA". It matches the Rfam family "Bacterial small subunit ribosomal RNA", at positions 28 to 1381 of the family's 1533-position model. The record is from RNAcentral.